AACAGUAAAUUCUUGGCAACAGGGAAGGUUCCGAAGCCUCCAAGAAGGCUAACACAGGCUCUCCUAUCCAACUCCUAUCCUGACACGUCCUUUACGUGCCGAGUGGUAACAUGUGUCAUCAAAUAUCCAAGCUUGGGUACACGGGUCCAGUCCCAACCCCUUGGGCGGAUGAUGAUGCAUGCCAAAGCAGGAAGGG
Molecule: non-coding RNA, 196 nt
Organism: Anopheles arabiensis
Lineage: Eukaryota; Metazoa; Arthropoda; Insecta; Diptera; Culicidae
Source: Rfam